ACCUUCGGGCCUCUUGCCAUCGGAUGUGCCCAGAUGGGAUUAGCUAGUAGGUGGGGUAAAGGCUCACCUAGGCGACGAUCCCUAGCUGGUCUGAGAGGAUGACCAGCCACACUGGAACUGAGACACGGUCCAGACUCCUACGGGAGGCAGCAGUGGGGAAUAUUGCACAAUGGGCGCAAGCCUGAUGCAGCCAUGCCGCGUGUAUGAAGAAGGCCUUCGGGUUGUAAAGUACUUUCAGCGGGGAGGAAGGGAGUAAAGUUAAUACCUUUGCUCAUUGACGUUACCCGCAGAAGAAGCACCGGCUAACUCCGUGCCAGCAGCCGCGGUAAUACGGAGGGUGCAAGCGUUAAUCGGAAUUACUGGGCGUAAAGCGCACGCAGGCGGUUUG
Molecule: ribosomal RNA, 388 nt
Filed under: Escherichia coli
Lineage: Bacteria; Pseudomonadati; Pseudomonadota; Gammaproteobacteria; Enterobacterales; Enterobacteriaceae
Description: bacterial SSU rRNA
Rfam family: Bacterial small subunit ribosomal RNA
Source: RNAcentral